CCUACGGGAGACAGCAGUGGGGAAUAUUGCACAAUGGGGGAAACCCUGAUGCAGCGACGCCGCGUGAGUGAAGAAGUAUUUCGGUAUGUAAAGCUCUAUCAGCAGGGAAGAAAAUGACGGUAACUGAUUAAGAAGCCCCGGCUAACUACGUGCCAGCAGCCGCGGUCAUACGUAGGGGGCAAGCGUUAUCCGGAUUUACUGGGUGUAAAGGGAGCGUAGACGGCAGCGCAAGUCUGAAGUGAAAUGCCGGGGCUUAACCCCGGAACUGCUUUGGAAACUGUGCAGCUAGAGUGCAGGAGAGGUAAGUGGAAUUCCUAGUGUAGCGGUGAAAUGCGUAGAUAUUAGGAGGAACACCAGUGGCGAAGGCGGCUUACUGGACUGUAACUGACGUUGAGGCUCGAAAGCGUGGGGAGCAAACAGGAUUAGAUACCCUGGUAGUC
Molecule: ribosomal RNA, 440 nt
Filed under: uncultured bacterium
Lineage: Bacteria
Description: partial 16S ribosomal RNA
Rfam family: Bacterial small subunit ribosomal RNA
Source: RNAcentral